AUGCAGGUUACUGCUCACAUGUGUGCACGUGUUAGUGUGCAUGUACAUUGGUGUGCACGUGUGUUAAUGUGCAUGGGUGUUUGUGGAGGGGGGGCUGCUUUCAUAUGGAUGGAGUUAAUGCUCCUCGUCUGGUACUAUGCACUGAAUUGAAUUCACCAAACAACUGAGUAGUGAGGAAUAAAACUUUAUUUGAAAUAUUGCCUGCCAUUUAAAACAUUUACUUUUAAAUAUAUGUUUCUCUUUAUAUUCUUGAAAUAUUACCCACUUCUAUUCAAAUAUUAUCUGCUUCCAAAAUCUAGUAAGCCAACAUUUGGGGUUUGAAGUGGCUUUCUCCAGAGACAUUGGGAGAAAUGAAGUGAAAAAUCAAAACGUGACGACAUCGCUCCCAGGCCAGGCCCUGUUUUAGAUUCCCCACUGUGCUCCACGCCGCCCCCUAGAAUGCUCCCCACCCCACCCCUCUCUCCAUCCUCCUCUCCCAUCUUGACAUUUCAGGGUUUUGGUGGUGGCUUUGUAGUCCGUGGUCCCCCGUGCUCCUGUGUCCGGGGGUUCGUUUGUGGCUGGCCCUGCUGACAGGGCUUCUCUCCGCAGUGCAGGUUUUGAGGCACUCUUAAAACGAGUUCUCUUCCUGAACUUCAGGUUUGCUACCUGUGAACUUGGAAUUAAAUGCUUUUCUCUGUGCUAGGCUGCGUCACCAAAUGUCUGAAAUACUUAGUUAUUAAAGAGUAUUUAUGGCUGUUAAUUUACAGUUAAUUCAGGCUUUCCCUUCUCUGGAGUUAAUGCUUUCUCCCCGUACCAGCCGGUCUGUGGCACGUUCUUUCGUGUGGGUCCAGGCUCACCGUCGCUGUCUCAGAACUGCUUUCCUGUUACGCUGCCGUAACUGUGAUGUUUGUGUAUCCAUCCCUUCAUGUAUCAAACGCAGACCUUUUCUCACAGGUUUGGUCAUUUUUGGGUGUAAGACACGUUCCUUCCUUGGAAGACUUUUUGUCCAUGAGUGUGAAUGGAUCCGCACUUAACUCAGAAUAAAUGCCGAGAUGUAAAGGACACCCGCAGCCAUGGAGCACAGCGGCGGCGCAACAGCUGUGUUGUUCCUGAACGCUUUUUCUCUGGUCUUAAAUUUAGACACCGAAUCCUGCAGUGUCAGGAAAAGCUGGAGAAUGCAGCUGCGGGCCGGGGACUCGGCCGGAAAGCCCCGGCCGCCUCCUGCUUCCAGUGCCCCGCAAGGCUCGGGCGGGAGAUGACUGUCCCCGUCCAUGUUCUUUCCUGUGGAGUAGACGCUGUGCAGCCAUCGGGUGAGAAGAUAUCGGCUUGGUCCUGGGCCCUGCCUUGCGGGCGUCCGUGGGAUAGCAGGUCUUGGGGCGCUGGGCCUUGUCCGGGAAGAGGCACUGGAUGGGGCGAUGCUCUGUAGGUCCUGCAGGCGCCCUGGCAGGGAUGGGGUCCGAGGGCUCCUGUGUGCCAGGCUCCUGAGAUCUCCUGGCAAGCGUUCGAGGCCUGGCAGGUGCGGGGGCACACAAGGCUGAGGUUCUGCCGGGGUGACCCUCUGCAGGCCAGCGUCUUGUGGGAAUAAAGCCCGAGCUGGAGAACGCGGCCUGUGGGCAGGGGGUGGGGUUGGGGUGCUCCUACUUCCGUUUCCCCGGCCUACAGGCGCUGCCCUUUGACCCUGGAAGGGCUUUGGAGAGAGGGCCCUGCUGGGGCCAGGGCCGCGUUGCUAAGGAGACGAGGGCGUUUCAUGUGAACACCACGUUAACAAGCUGCUUAUUUAAAGAUGGCAUCUAACGGAGAUCUUUUGUUUCCCUCAUCACUUUACCGAAGGACCAUACCAGACUCUGCGCUCGUCUCCUUUCAUGUUUUGCUUCCGUUCUGCCUCUCCUCGCGUGUCUCUGCCAGCGCACAUGCACACACCUGCUGCUGUUCUCCUUAGCAGAUCCCACCCUAACAUUCUGUGGUUUUGCCUGGCAUUCUGCAGAAGCAUUGCUGUAUCUUACCAGACAGGAAUACAGGCAAUGCUGUGAAGCGUCAGAGGGAAUUCCGUUGGUUACUUUCCCAUACGGUCUUGUUCAGCUGCUUGUUCUCAGAAAAGUGUGUUUGUUGGUGGAGGAGAAUGCGACCAAGGAGACCAUCCUUUUCAUGAAGGCACAAACGUGAAUACAUAUGUGACUUUUAAGCCUUUAAAUAAAAACCCAAAGCACAUUUAUGCCUGUCUUUAUUUCUAAG
This 2211-nucleotide long non-coding RNA is filed under the name Homo sapiens (human). Its description in RNAcentral is "HSALNT0344586". Lineage: Eukaryota; Metazoa; Chordata; Mammalia; Primates; Hominidae. The record is from RNAcentral.